Molecule: ribosomal RNA, 773 nt
Filed under: uncultured Neocallimastigales
Lineage: Eukaryota; Fungi; Neocallimastigomycota; Neocallimastigomycetes; Neocallimastigales
Description: partial large subunit ribosomal RNA
Rfam family: Eukaryotic large subunit ribosomal RNA
Source: RNAcentral
GCAUCUGUGCAUGCAGCAUAUCAAUAAGCGGAGGAAAAGAAACUAACAAGGAUUCCCCUAGUAACGGCGAGUGAAGCGGGAAGAGCUCAAAUUUGAAAUCUUAAAGGGUUUCCCUUUACGAAUUGUAGUUUAAAGAAGUGUUUUCUGUUGAGGUUUUGGUAAAGGUUCUUUGGAAUAGGACAUCAUAGAGGGUGAGAAUCCCGUAUUUGACCUUUACUUUCAACUUUGUGAUACACUUUCAAAGAGUCGGAUUGUUUGGGAAUGCAGUCCAAAAUGGGUGGUAAAUUUCAUCUAAAGCUAAAUAUUGGCGAGAGACCGAUAGCGAACAAGUACCGUGAGGGAAAGAUGAAAAGAACUUUGAAAAGAGAGUUAAACAGUACGUGAAAUUGUCAAAAGGGAAGCGUUUGACACCAGUGUUGUUUUUCUGAAAAUCAAUUAAAGAACUGUUUAUGCUAAGCUGUUUAGACUUUAUCAGCUAUCUGCUUAGUUUUGAGCUUUUCUUUAAUGCACUUUUCAGUUAACAAGUCAACAUCAAUUUCUUUUGCUGUAAAAAAGCUUGAGGAAGGUGGCUUGAGAUUCGUCUUAAGUGUUUAUAGCCUCUUGCCUAUGCAGUCGGAGAGAUUGAGGUCUGCAGCGUAGAUCCUUCGGGGCUAAAUGCAUUUGUGCUAAGUUAUAGCAUUUUAUAGACAACUUGUUGACUAUGAUUUGUCUUGUAGCUUACUCGCUUAUGUUAUUUUACCUACGCUUAGGAUGUUGAGCGCAUGUCUCUCUCU